This 124-nucleotide small RNA is filed under the name Marmota monax (woodchuck). Lineage: Eukaryota; Metazoa; Chordata; Mammalia; Rodentia; Sciuridae. The record is from RNAcentral.
GCUGGGUGCGGUGGUGUACACUUGUUAUCCCAGCACUUGGGAGGCUGAGAUGGGAGACUCUCGAGUUCAAAGCCAGACUCAGCAAUGUCAAGGUGCUAAGCAGCUCAGUGAGACCCUGUCUCUA